AGUGAACGCUGGCGGUAGGCCUAACACAUGCAAGUCGAACGGCAGCACAGUGAGAGCUUGCUCUUACGGGUGGCGAGUGGCGGACGGGUGAGGAAUGCAUCGUAAUCUACUUUUUCGUGGGGGAUAACGUAGGGAAACUUACUCUAAUACCGCAUACGACCUACGGGUGAAAGCAGGGGAUCUUCGGACCUGUCGCGAUUGAAUGAGCCGAUGUCGGAUUAGCUAGUUGGCGGGGUAAAGGCCCACCAAGGCGACGAUCCGUAGCUGGUCUGAGAGGAUGAUAAGCCACACUGGAACUGAGACACGGUCCAGACUCCUACGGGAGGCAGCAGUGGGGAAUAUUGGACAAUGGGCGCAAGCCUGAUCCAGCCAUACCGAGUGGGUGAAGAAGGCCUUCGGGUUGUAAAGCCCUUUUGUUGGGAAAGAAAAGCAGCAGGUUAAUACCCCGCUGUUCUGACGGUACCCAAAGAAUAAGCACCGGCUAACUUCGUG
This 492-nucleotide ribosomal RNA is filed under the name uncultured bacterium. Its description in RNAcentral is "partial 16S ribosomal RNA". It matches the Rfam family "Bacterial small subunit ribosomal RNA", at positions 29 to 507 of the family's 1533-position model. The record is from RNAcentral.